GAGCGAGUUCAGACACACUUAAUUUGUUAAGCAAUUUAUAGCUAUUUGGCUGCUUUACACGCAGGGGGUCAUAGGUUCGAAUCCUAUACCGCCCACCA
This 98-nucleotide transfer RNA is filed under the name Dehalococcoides mccartyi. Its description in RNAcentral is "tRNA-Ser". The record is from RNAcentral. Lineage: Bacteria; Bacillati; Chloroflexota; Dehalococcoidia; Dehalococcoidales; Dehalococcoidaceae.